This 396-nucleotide long non-coding RNA is filed under the name Nicotiana tabacum (common tobacco). RNAcentral describes it as "long non-coding RNA (NTAB_LNC009479)". The record is from RNAcentral. Lineage: Eukaryota; Viridiplantae; Streptophyta; Magnoliopsida; Solanales; Solanaceae.
CCAAAAUCUAGAGCUGAAUGUAUUCCCGCAUUAUACUGGUGGGCGACCUAGAACUUAAAAGUAUUCCCGCAUUAUACUGGUGGGCGACCUAGAACUUAAAAGUAUUCCCGCAUUAUACUGGUGGGCGACCUAGAACUUAAAAGUAUUCCCGCAUUAUACUGGUGGGCGACCUAGAACUUAAAUGUAUUCCCGCAUUAUACUGGUGGGCGACCUAGAACUUAGAACUUAAAAGUAUUCCCGCAUUAUACUGGUGGGCGACCUAGAACUUAAAAGUAUUCUCGCAUUAUACUGGUGGGCGACCUAGAACUUAAAAGUAUUCCCGCAUUAUACUGGUGGGCGACCUAGAACUUAAAUGUAUUCCCGCAUUAUACUGGUGGGCGACCUAGAACUUAAAAU